Molecule: long non-coding RNA, 1750 nt
Filed under: Pan troglodytes (chimpanzee)
Lineage: Eukaryota; Metazoa; Chordata; Mammalia; Primates; Hominidae
Description: long non-coding RNA NONPTRT005687
Source: RNAcentral
AAAAAGAAAGAAAGAAAAUACUGGUAUAUAUCCAGAUGCAGUGGGCUACAAAACGUGGAAUGAUCAUUAAUUCCUGUUAUAUUUCUUUUUUUUCUGUAGCCUUGGAUCCUUAGACUCACCAAUAACUGAAGCUACAGUGAUUACAAACCUGAUAGAACCUCACAAUUUGAACAGAAAAGGAGGAGACAAAAUUGCAGCGUGUGUUUGGGGCAGAGGUCAGGAAGGCUGAGAUGUAGACCACAUCUGCAUCUUUUGGGCCAGCAGCCUUUGGAAUGAUCAGGGAACAGUGAGUGUAGGAGCUUGUCUUAUAGCUGCUGCGCCUAUCCCAACCUUUGCCCCCAGUUAUCUCAUUUAGAAAACCCUCUGGCUCCAGGGGUCCUUCUACUGCCUCCAUGUAAUAGAUGUCUGCAUGAGUCAGGGGUAGAAACUCCACCCCUCCAGGGGUGAGGGUCUUAAUCCACAAUGAGCUGCAGGUGUUUCCAAGGACAAACUUUAGUCUCAGAUCACAUUCAUAUCAGAGGUCCUAGGUCACCCAGUUCACUUUCCAGGAUCAUAUACAUUCUUUCAUUAGGGUCACAAGAGAUACAGUAACUUCUGCAUGGUCUUCUGAUCCAUGCCCAUUGUGAGCAAGAGUGACUGAUUCAGACAGAUACAGGACAGGAUAUGAUUCGAUCUUCUAACAUCACACUGAUUAUCAGGAAUACAAAGUAAAGGAGGAACAUUGUGAAGCCCAGGAUCUUGUUCAUUCUCCAUUUACAUGACGCAAUUGAAGAGAUCACAAACAGAAGCAUGAGAAAAAGCAAAACAAUUGCACAAAACAAGCCAUUGCUGCUGACUGGAACUGGCUGUAAUCCAUUGAUAAGAGAGAAAAGCAACCAAGGAACAGGCAAGCUGCAAGAUUGAAGAAACGAUGUGAAUAGAAACUGCACGAAUUCACUUGAUCCUCGAGAUUCCCUGAGUACCGGAGAUUGAUCCUGAAGGAAAGUGUCGUUGGGACCUGCUGGUAGAGGAUUUCGUUCCUGCUGUUCACUCACCUGGUGAGCCCACCACACCAUGAGGCCUAAAGGAAAUCCUUGGUGUAGAGGGCACUAAUGGAUCUCCCCAGAGCAGGCUGGGACAUCCCAAGAUACCUGAGGAGUUGGCGCCCUGAGCCCCCCGCGCCUCCAGCCCAUGACUUGGAGCUGAUCAAAGUGGGAGUAGGGUAAGGUAGUGGGGAUCUUGUGAUCCUAACCAUUGAUCUGGAAGCCCUUUCAAUCAUUCAGCUAACUCGGCCUGACAUUUACUGACUGCCCCUUUCUCCCUUUCCUGUUUCCUCCAGAGUACCUGGGUGCAUGAUGCUUUGGGUUACUUUCAUCUGAAAUAGCAGUUAAUCCUCACAGCCUCACCUCUACCCUGCUUCACCUUGAGUGGCCUGGAACAGUAAGAAGGUCACGAGCUCCCUCUGCUGAAGCCCACAGAAGGGCCCACCCACUGUGGAAGAGCUGGCUUCAUCUCUGAGUAUGCUGGGGUCACUCUGGAUGUUGGAAGCCUGGGAUCAGGACCUGAGGUCUGCUAGUUACAUGUCCUUGCCUUUAUGCUGCUGUGGGCAGAACAAAAUCUAGUUCUUUCCCUUUUCAUGCCACUAUGUAACACAGUCUCAAUCUGGCCCAGAAAGAUGAAAAAAGGAAUAUAAUUCACAAAGUAAAAUGAGUGAUCUUUUUUCUGAAAUAACUCCUCUAUUUUUACAAUGUUGUUUAUUCAAUAUAAAAAA